GAGUUGUUAUACAUAAGACAAUUUAGGGAAACAACUGAAUAGACGGGGGGUUCAAGCUAAUAAAGACUAAUUCCAAACAGGCCAGGGACAGGGUAGGACAAGGAAAGUGCUGUGGGACCUCACUCCCAUGUGAAAUGUGGGACACCUGCAGACUUAAUCUGCUGCUGCAUGAGCAAAGGAACAGGCAGAAAAAGCAUUGUGAAAAAUCUGGCACUGGAAUUCCACACAGCAUGCACUUGUCUGCCACAUGCAGUGAUGAAAAUUAUGAGUCAUUCUUCAUCUGGCCAUAUUUCUACUGAUUGCAUCCAGGGGGUUUCAGUACUUUCUCCAGUUGUCAUCCCUCCUCCUGUUUUGGAAGUGCAGACACUUGAAUAUCAAACUAAGGCCCAUUAGCAAAAAGCUUUUAUUCAAAAACUUUGUAACUAUAUGAAGAUUCCUUAAGGGUAAAACUCCAAGACUUUAGGGUUACAGGCUAACAACCAUUAUGCAUUACACUUUUCUGUCACAUCAUUGUCCUUACUCAACUGUAAUGUUUAUGAUGUCUUGAUUUUUUCCUAAGGCAUUACACUACCUCAUUUUGCAGAUAUGGUUUACAUUUCUCCAUUCUACAAGUAUAUUUGCAUUUGAGUAAAGAAGAACUUUAAGUGAGCCAAGAUUAUACCUGAUUGUGCUCUUGUUGUAUCUGAGUCUCUGAGGACUGUGUGUUUGUAUUUAACUCUUCACAGUCUUUAUUAAUCCACAGACUUUAUCAGCUAUAAUCUCUUGUUGUUCUAAAAUCCCUGAUAAAGACGAAUAGCACUGACAAUCUAAGGAUGCACCUGCAGUUGAAUUCUUUUAGGCAGAUUCUAACCAAAGAAAGAAGCCAGGAAGUUUUUUUUCGUAAAAGACAUGUUAAUCGGUAUUAAUUAUACUCUAAAAUUUUUGUGUUUUAACAGAGAAUCCUAAAUCAGCUUUUCUGUGGUUAUAUUUAUGUUGCCCUAAUACAGUGUUGUGUAUAUGCACAACAUGCAUACAUGCCUUAUGUCAUCAUACAGUGUUACUUCAUUAUGAUUAGUUUGUAGGGCUAAGGUAAAAAUUCUGCCCAAGUCUCUGUGCAUAAUACUUCUUUCAUCUGAUGUGUCUUGAGAGCCAAAUCCAGGCAAUAUGAAACUGAGCCAGGAAAGGACACCACAUGCAUUUCAGAUUAAGUGUUUAUGUUUAAGUAUAAAGGCUGAACAACCUGUACCUUUUAAUUUAUGUACAUUGCUGGAAUCUAGCAAUAACUAAAUGAUCACCAUAUUAAUGGAAUCACUGUUUGUUUGUUUCUUUGUUUGUUUGUUGUUUUCUAACAAUUGGAACUGACUCUUCCCUGCCGUUAGAGUUGUAAUUACCAACUCUUAUGACUGACACUGAUGUGGGUGUAAAAUUCUUUAAUUCUAAUACUGAAAAUAAGGGGAUGAGUUAGGUAGGAAGGUGACACUCAGUAUGAAAAACCUGUUAUAAUAAGGCCCACGGAGCCAAAGCUAUCAUAAUGUUUCUAUAGUGUUUCAUUUCCUAUUUUAAUGGAGCAUUUCACUUUGAAUCCAGUUCCAUCUUUUUGUGUGUCUGAGACACUUCAUACUCUGAGGACACAGAAAGGCUAUGUGCGGGUAGUAGAACUGAAGUCAGCUUCAGACACUCAGAAUAAGAAAUCAAACUGAAACUACAUCCUGGCUUCACAUGCACCCAAAACACUCUCAUCACAGGAAACAGUGUUAAAGACCAUCACUGUGUGAUAGCUUUGACCACUAACAUCUCAGUUUCCAAAUAGCCUCUUCUCUCUUCUUGGGACUCCCAGCUUUUUCACACACUGUGCUGCACUGAAGAAACAGAUGCAGAAAUUGAAGCUCUUCACAAAGGAAAGAACGUAUGAAAAGGAAUGAGUUCCUCAAAACCUGUGCAGCUGUAUAGCAGCUAAGAGAAACUUACCAUAGAAACUGUCCAUAGAAAGUACCAAACAUCCCAUUAAACUGCUGCUUGUGGUAUUAACCUUCUUUAAUCACACCCAGAGCUUCAGCACUUAGAGCAGAACUGUGCAUAGAACACUGCAAACACUUCUCUUGUGUUCUUGGGGAACCUUCUCAAACAACUUCCAUACAUGAAGCGACAAAAAGGUCACCUACAUUCUUUGAGAAUGUUAUUUAUCAUGAACUUCAGGACACUGAAGUUGUCUUGGUGUAAAACUUGUGAGUUUGACCCUUGCCUUUCCUAACUUGUGAAAGGGAAAUACUGAUACCUCUUUGGUAGCUAACAUAACAUGUAAGAGGAAGAUCCCAUCUUCCUUUCAUGUCCAGAUAUUCUGUGUUCAACAACCUCAGGAGAAAUCAAAGUCCAUAUAACAGUACUCUGUAAUUUCCAUGCCUCUCCUGUGUGAACUCAAAGAGAAACUAGUAAAAAACCCCAAAUAAGUCCAUCUUUUUGGAACCCAUGUACUCUAUGUAGUCAAAAGUAAGUUUCAGGACAGGAUGAGAAAAAGAUACCCAUUCUUAUCUUGCUAAAAUCUUCAGUGCUAUCCUGAGAUGCUGUAUUACUCUGUCCUGAGAUGCUAAUACCAGAAAUACGUGGCAAACUGAAGUGAAAUCUUAUGGGAACCAGUACUUUGGCUAGGGCCAGUUCUCCCCAGCCCUUUUCAAAAUAGUAAAAUAAAUUGGACUCAUGUGCAAGGGUAAUACGGGCUCCAGUACUGACAAAGCUGAAAUGACAUGUCUCUAUUUAUCCCUCCCUAAAUGCCAGGGUAUCUUACUGCUUGGAUGAGAGACUGACACAUAGAUGAAGAACAAUACCUAAUUAUCAACCAGAGCAGAACAGAAGCAGUCAAAGGAAAAACAUUUUUAGCACUCACACCUGCAGUUCAACAUCCAUUGGCUGACGAUACAAACCCUGAUGAUCAAUUCAACCUGUAUUGGAAUAGAAUGUGAUUACUUGGCACAAACCUUUUAACUGACAACAAUGAUAAAUAAUGAUUUUUAUAAUCUCCCUUGAAGUAGGAAACUACCCCGUCCUGGCAGAGGGUGGUCUGGCUUCAGCUAUUCAUGUGUUUCUCAUACCUUGACUGGACUGCAGCAAUAAUGUAUACCUGCUCUCAAAGUCAAGAGUGCUUAAAAAAUUUCAGUUAUCUCAGAAGAGCUGUAUUGCAUCUUAUCAGCAACACACUCACUUGCAAAUGCAUUAGCCUGGGCUCCAGUCUCUACACAGUCCAGACUUAACUGCAAAGACUUAACUCUUAAAUAUGUUUAAGGUAUCAGACUGUAGCAUCUAAGCCAUCCAUUGCCUCGACCCAGAAAUUUCUAGUCCAAGAUUGCAUACUAAACAAAACUGGAACUGAAGAGCAAUGUAUAUCACACUACUUUCCAUUUCAAGUUCACUGUCAUUGCACCUACUUCAUCAUAAAUACAUAGCAACAGACACAUGUAAGAAAAUCCCUUCCAUAUCAGGGCAGUCUCUUGCACAUACAGGGGAAAAACUGUUUCUUCAUUUCACAUCCUAAAAAGCAGGCCAUCCUCCUCUUUCUUUCGCCUAGAGUAUGGCCUUUGGCAAAACCUUAUUCCCUUUGACCCCUGAUGCAGUGAUUUACUGAUAAGGUGUUGACCCCUUCUGCUUUUUUUUAAUGUAAAGAAAACCUGACAAUAAUCAGCUACUGCAAGGAGACUUAAACAUUCUGCAGGAAAAAGUGCCGGGAAUGUUAAAUUUCUUGAUGGAUUUCUUCAGUUUUCAUAAAAAAGGACCAUAAAAAAAAUCAUCAGGAUUUUUUAAGCAGUUACACAGUCAAAAGUUUUGCAUUUUGAAACAAGCAUCCUUUUGUAAAAGAAAAUGCUUUUGAGCUACUCUGCAAAUGCAAUAUCGGUUUUCAGUUUUACUGCAAAAUAUUCUACAUGCAAGAUCUGGGAAGCUUUCUGGGUUUUACAAAGGUUUUGCUAAGAACCUGCAACAACAUCUGCAGCAGCUGAUCACCCACUUCCUACUUUAUUCAUCAUGUGCAGAGAGCUGUUUUCUGCUUUGCUUCCCUAACCUGUAUAUUCAUUUAGAUACAAGCCAUGGUUUCAUGUUUCACAGUUAUGCUGCUUUGGAGCUGCUCAAAGUAAGCACGUAAACUUAAAACAUUACUGAAGCUCAGUGCUUUUGAUUAUGCUGUUGUCAGACAUACUGUAACAGAGACACAAAGAUUAUUUGAGACACUGCUCACACCUUGAAAACAAAGACCAUAGAAAGUUUUUGAUUAUUGCCCUCCUUGAGUCCAGACCCCACUUUAAGAAAUGCCUGCAUACAAUCUUUUCUUCAUUUUCUUUUCAUUUAUUCUCCUCACCUCUCCUGAUUCUGCUUCCAGUUAGAGGGUAAAGCUGCCUUUUCAGCUUUGUACAAAGGAAAUCACCUCCAAAAAAGGGGGGAAUUUUGGAGGAAGGGAAAAGGGUAAAAUGGAGACCUAGUACAGGUCCCCAUCCAGUUUAAGACUACUUUGCUGAUCAUUGCUCAUACAUCAUGAAAAACAUGAUCAGAGCAGUGGGAGAAUUUGUCCUUUUUUAAGCAGAACUUGUCAUUGUUCUCAACUGGGAAAUCUUGUUUCCAGAGCAGAUGCACAGACUACCUCAAGGGUAUUUCACAUAACACUUAACACCUAUUCAAUGCCCUAUUUUCUCAAAAUGACACAGAGGUGACAAAGUCCCAGACCACAUACACAGUAGAGGGUUUUUCCCAUUCUAUUUGAGAAUGUAGAGACAAACAGAUGAAGGAUAAACAGCACCUGAAAGUGAGCAUCUAAAUCUACAUUUAAGGUUGAGAGCUGAAAAAUAUUAAGCAUGCACAUAACCUUACUCCCAAAAGAAAACCCACAGUUUUCAUUCAAGGUCAUUCAGUAUGUAAAAGCUUGCAGAACUGAGCCUUAUGGUGACUAAAUAUGAGGUUAGAUACUCAGAAAGCUUCAUCUGGGCAGUGCUGACUGGCAUGAGGAAAGUGAUUUAAACUACAGAUGUGUAAUCAUACCCAGAAGCCUAUCCUUAUCUAAAGGGGAACCCAAAAUUAAUUCCCAGUUGAACUACAGGCGAAAGUUUUAAUUGUCUGAUAAAAAGCCUUGAUGAUUACUUCUUUUUUUUUAUAAGAAAUAUUUAUAAACCUAAGCCAGUUAAUUUUAUAUUGUAUGGUAUCAUUUCAUAUGCAAGAAAAAAGAACAGUAAUUGGAAGUAUUCAGAGAUGGAAGACAUGUAAGAUAGCAAUAGUUUAAAAUAAAUCUUUGGUAAAUAAUUUAUAUUUAAAAGAGAAGGCAAUAAAAAUGCGUACAAUGAUGCAAAGGCAAGCAAAAGAGAAUGUACUGGAAGAAAUUUACUUAAAAUAUGACUAUUUAUUUCCCAAACCAACAAAUUGAUGAAGGGGUUAAUAAUUUCAUAAACCCAUUGUUCAAUCUGAAAAAUAAUUACAUCAUGCAUAGCAUGCAAUUCUAGUUAAAAAUUAAUCAUAGGAGUAUAAACACUGAUAUAAAAAACAUCAGUUCCAUAAAAAAUUCUCAUGCAACAAAGUCUUGCAUUCAAAUAGUGGGGUUUUGCACAUUUUCUCUUCAGGAUCUGCUAACAAGGAACAUCAUUGUUCCAAAUGCACACAUUUUAGGAGGGUUCAGUUUCGAGUGGAAACCAAUGACCUCAGAUAUGUUCAUUAACAAAAUGAAAUUUUCAGGAUAAAAUUAAUUGUUAGUAUACUGCUUCAAAAGCUUCCUAAUAUCUUUACUAUGAAAUGCUUAAUGUUUUGUUUGUCUCUAUUAGUAUUGCAUAUUUACUUUAGUAUUUAAUAAUUAAGAUCAAAGCUUUCAGGAAUGACUGUCUGUUUCCUAUAAUGAACUAUUUGGAUGCUAACUUAAUUAAUCAAUUUACUAACUUGUGUGUUGUUACCCAUGUAAUGCAAUCAAAUGAUGAAGAUUCAUUAAAAGUAUUUCUUACUGUGAACCAAGAUAGGUCUUGGAAAUACUUGUUCCAUUAUUGUACGCAUUGUCUCAAAUUCAAACAUUAUGCAUGCUGUGUGGGUUUUACAUCUGUGAGCCACUAAGGAAAUAUUAUUUAAACCGUACAGAAAAAUUAAGACUUCCAAGCUCAAAGGGAAACUACAGUACGUAUCAAACUUCAAAUUUAUGAGAAAUAUAUGCCAAACAUUCUUGUAAUUAUGAGUAAACAGACUAUAGAGCAUUUUUUUAGAGCUAGCUAAACACAAGACCUUUAGGGUUCAAGAAGCAUUUUCCAAAACAGUACCAGCAAUGUGUCCAGAACUUCAUCACCACAAUAUUUUUGCAUAUUUGGAAAUUUAUUUUUUUUUUCCAGCUUUACCAUAAAGCUGUCUAUAAAGUAAUUUGAUGUGCUGGAUACACUUCAUUGCUACAAUUAGUAGCAAAGUACAUUUUCAGCAAAAUAUGCAUCACCUUAAAGAAUGGGAAACUUUCAGCCAGUUCGUAUCAUUCUUAUCGAGUUGUAAAUUAAAAUUAUUAAUAUGAUUUGUAUUCACAUUAUUUUCUGGGAUACAGACAGGUUUCAGAAUACUUGCAGCUCUGGUACAGCAGAGCUACUUGCGUACUGUGACCCAUGUAAUGCAACCAAAUGAUGAAGGUUCAUCAAAAGUGUUUCUUCAUGUGAAUCAAAUUAGAUGUAAGAAAUAAUGUUUCAAAAACUAAAACAAGGAAACAUAAUUAAGCAGAGAGAAUUACUCAGUUCCAUCAGUUUUACUGGUUUUCUCUCUAGUAGUUUCCUUUUUGUCACCUUCCAUGAUAAAGUCAUAGCUGUCUUUUUUUUUCCUCCUUAUAAAUUCUUCUUUCUAACUAGUGUUCUCAACACUCCUUCACAAAGACUACUUUCAUAUGUGAUGUAAUCCCAAAGACAUUGUGUUAAACCAAUCAAGCACGGACCCUGCUGGAGGGUGGACACUGGCUUCUAAUACAGCAUAACACAUCAUGUGUUUCAUUCAGUCCUUUGCAGAAGUCCAGACCUAUUGAGAGAAUAUGUUAGGCAUAUACUUUGACUCAAAACAGAAUUGGCCUAAAACCAAUUCAAACUGCACGUCAACAUGUAUUUGGAAUUGCUAGUAAGUGAUCGUUUAGGCUUACUCAACAGAAUUAACAGGUGCAUUCACAUGGUUUAUCUUCCGAGUCCUAAAUUCUGCAUCUUAGAUUCUGAAGUCUCUGCUCAGGAAUGAUUAUAGCUGACUCAAGGGGAUUUAGCAUAGUCAACUGCAGGAACAACUCUAGAAUUCAUAUGCAGACUAUAACAAGUGUAUACAUUAGAAAAAUAAAUUUAUACGCCUCCAUAAUAUUAUAUAAACAACCCAUAUCUUACUGUUAAUUUUACUAGAAUCAGAUCAACUUGAAGGGAGCAAGUGUGCCACAUAACGCCUAACAAACAAAUAUAGAGAUAUUUAGGGGAAAAUCUAUGAAUGUGCCAAUUGCAGAACCUAUGACAAUUCUCAAAUGAGGACUGUCCUCUGGUCGUUUAUUGAUGGAUACAUUUUAUUCUUUUUUAAUUAAAAAUGUACAUUAUAUUAUUUGAAAGAUAUUGCAGACUGUUGUAGCUAAGGAAAUAAUCAAGGGCAAUGAGUUUAAAUACUUAUUUGCAGUGGUUUUUGUGUACUUUUGCUUCCUAAUGCACAACAGCAGCAAGGUGUACCCAGAACAAUCUUCUGCAGGAAAAUACUAAAUGUUGGUUUCCCUCAAGACUCAUUUUAUCUAGAACUUGGAUUAGAUUUAUCUAUUUACUCAGGCAGAUAAAUAACUCGUCUCAUUCAUAUUUCUAUCAGGAUGGUUACACUAAUUUUAAAUUGUGGGGAUUUAUCUUUUUCAGUGCCAUAUCAGCAGUUUAAUUUGUAGUUUUGUCUACAUAUUUUAGCAGAAUUAUAUUGCGAACCCUUGACCAAUUAAAGGUAAUGCUUCAAAAAUUUCAGUGUGGCAGGGUUUCCUCCAUAACAUUAAUAUUCUUUGCUAUGGAGACUCUUAACAAAAUCUGAAAAAUUUUCUUUCUGACUGAAGCAGACUGAAAGCAUGUAUCCACUCUUUGCUUAUUGAAAAAUUUAGUCUUACUUGCAUAUGCUAUAAUUAUGGUGCAUGUAAUUAUAGCUGGAGAAUGAAGAUGUGAGCAAAAAGAGUGAGAGAAAUUUAAUUCAACUGGGCUUUUGGAACUUACAGGUUGAACUAUUGAAAGAUGGCCAAAGAAAUAAUAUUGAAAUUAGAAAGGCAUUAAAACUUCUUUUUUAAAACUGACCUUAUACCAAUCCCAUGAGUGAGACAACUCCUUUGGGGUCAGACCCACAUAGGUGAUGUCAUUGCACUUGUACCAAACCAUGUACAUUGUGUGGGAUUUCAUAUGCUGCGGUCUGAUUUUUAUGAUAAAUGCACAACUUUGACUAUAUUUCAGCUGAGCAUUGUUCUUUAGUCCCAGAACUUCAAAAAUGGAUUCUCCAUUUUCUUAGAGAUGUAAAAUAUUUCAGUACAAUGCUGCUGAAACAAGAAUCAUUUGGGUUCUUUCACUUUAGGAGAAGGAGGGAGAGGAAUGUCCUUAGAGGAAAGCUUUUACAUUUGUUUCCACUAAAACCGACAUACAACUACUCGUCCAGAUUUUGUAGCUGCUUUCAAGCAGAUCCAGCAAAGUUAAGUUCUUGGCAGAUCUGUGUAAUCAUAAUUUGAACUUAACUUCCACAGUUUUCAGGCAAAUGUCUGAGUCACCAAUAAUAAUAGACAUCAACAUCAUGAAAUCUAGUAAAAUUGUAGGUAAAAAGCCUUGAAGGUCUUAAAAGUCCCACAAAUAGUCUCACUUCAGUACAUUUUUGGUGUCACUUAAAAUUCAACAUUUUAGCUAUGUAUAGCAAAGUCAAGGCAUUAUGUUGUACAUAAUCGUCAUGCUAUUCUGAAAUUAUCAUUUUGACACUUUUUUGAGCUUUACGGGGUUUUAUGGUGUGCUACAGUUCACCUGUGCAGAGGCAUGACAUCAUUACAUGCAGCUACCCUCACCCCACCCUGAACAGUGUUGUUUGAUAUCAUCACCUACUUUUAGUUUUAUCUAUCUUAGAAACAGGCGAUUUGGCUCAAGUUAAAAUUAUUUUUAUCCACUUACACCUUAAUACUGAGCUGUUGCAUAACUUUAUCCAAUCUAGCACUGAGGUAAAAAAAGAAAAUCAACAUUGACCUUUUAAGUCCAGAUUCUGCAGUAAACAGCCGUGACAUCCUGUGAUAAAAAAAUCCCCUCUUCUCUGUAACUUUGGAAGCUGCUGUUUCAUCUUCACAUCAAGUAAGAGCAACAACUGACUGGCUCUAAGGGGCUUUGCAAAGACAGUUAAGACAUUGACUGUCCUCGGGAGUGGUGCUUGAUUGUUAAUCACUGGCAACAGAGUGUUGUGUUAACUUUGACAGUGCACCUUGAAUUCUAAUUCCUCCUGUCUCUCUCAACUCAAAUAGCCAUGUCACUGUGUGCAUACACAAUCCAUCACAGAACAGAACCUCAAUAUGUACUGCAGACACAACCAUAACCCAAAUUAUAAAUCAUGAGAAUUUUCUUACAGGUCUUCUUUUCUCCUAGAUUCAGUACAGUUUCCUUUUGUUUCUCCCAGUACAGCUCAAAAUAUUCUCCCUAGCUGAAGCCCCAGUGUUGAUCAUUCACGAGGCGUUCAGAGGUGUUUAGAGCGCUAGGGACUCUGAGCCUUCAACUGACUUUAUGUGGGUGGCCAUCUGUAAGCGCACGAUCCCACUGAGGUCAGCCCAGGUGCAGUUCUUCUCUGAAAGUAACGGUAUGGCUGUGGCCUCACAUGGAAAACUGUCAGCAAAACAACUUUCUUUCUCUUCUUUUUUCUAACAAAUCCCUGUUUGCACUUUGGGUGUUUAUUAGAAAACACUAUCAUUACUAUUAUUUUCUGAAUCUAGAAAGCACAUGCAUCUCAUUGAUUCUGAGCUGACGUAAAUAUGAUCUGGUCUCAGGGAAAAUUGCUGAAAUGGGACAUAGCACAGGAAUUUACCAGAGUGCCAUGUAUUCACAGGCCCAGACGGAAUUUCUUAAUGCCCGCUUUCACUGGAAAAUAGUAAUGCAUCAAUAGUCAAACUUUCCUCCGCAAGACACUUGUAUCUACAGAAGUUUUAUCAUUAAAAGCUUUUCAGGACCAGGUGAAAAUUUCUAACCCAAAGCAAGGCCAACACCAAACCAGCAUCCCUUAGUAUUCAUGCAAGCCUUAUGGACAUUUUAAAUCCUUCUCCCACAUGUGACUAAGACUGCUGCAUUGAAGGUAAAUCUUUCAGCUUCUAAUGUAAAAAGCCAUUUCAUGCCCAGUGAAUACUUGAUUAUGAAAAAAAAAUAAAGCAACUUCCAUGCGGAAAGGAUAACAACCAAAGAAAAAGGGGUGAAUUGAUACUUCUGAGAAAUCCAAGUUCAAACCCUUGCUGUAAAUCAGGCGAUACAAGGUUUUCUGCAACCCAGGCACAUGUCCCUAACACAAAUAUAACAACCACCAUGUGUGGAGCUUUUCUCUUCUCAAAGGACAGCACAAAGCCUAACUUUUGCCCUAGCACAGAUCAAAACCCCCAAAGGUUAGAUCUCAGAAAGCUUUGUUGGAUGGGAAAAUCAUUUCCAUUUGCUUGUUCUUUUUACUCAUCACCUGAAUCACAGCAGCAAAUUAAGCAAGUAGAGCAAGUUGCUGUUUAUCAGGACAAACUAAUGAGCAGGAAGAAUUUGUGCUGUGGGGGUGGCAUCUUCCUGACAUGACUUUGAUUCUUGAAAUGACAAAAAAAAAAAAAAAAAAAGAAAACAAUUCCAUUUAAUUGCCUUUCCAAA
This is a long non-coding RNA of Aquila chrysaetos chrysaetos, 10790 nucleotides long. RefSeq lists it as uncharacterized. The transcript is spliced from 2 exons. NCBI's taxonomy places the organism in Eukaryota, Metazoa, Chordata, Aves, Accipitriformes, Accipitridae. The record is from RefSeq and is a predicted model, not a curated record.